CCUACGGGAUGCACCAGUGGGGAAUAUUGCACAAUGGGCGCAAGCCUGAUGCAGCCAUGCCGCGUGUAUGAAGAAGGCCUUCGGGUUGUAAAGUACUUCCAGCGGGGAGGAAGGUGUUGUGGUUAAUAACCGCAGCAAUUGACGUUACCAACAGAAGAAGCACCGGCUAACUCCGUGCCAGCAGCCGCGGUAAUACGGGGGGUGCAAGCGUUAAUCGGAAUUACUGGGCGUAAAGCGCACGCAGGCGGUUGAUUAAGUUAGAUGUGAAAUCCCCGGGCUUAACCUGGGAAUGGCAUCUAAGACUGGUCAGCUAGAGUCUUGUAGAGGGGGGUAGAAUUCCAUGUGUAGCGGUGAAAUGCGUAGAGAUGUGGAGGAAUACCGGUGGCGAAGGCGGCCCCCUGGACAAAGACUGACGCUCAGGUGCGAAAGCGUGGGGAGCAAACAGGAUUAGAUACCCGUGUAGUC
Molecule: ribosomal RNA, 465 nt
Filed under: uncultured bacterium
Lineage: Bacteria
Description: bacterial SSU rRNA
Rfam family: Bacterial small subunit ribosomal RNA
Source: RNAcentral